This 201-nucleotide microRNA precursor is filed under the name Oryza barthii. RNAcentral's name for it is "MIR812 microRNA precursor family". It matches the Rfam family "MIR812 microRNA precursor family". Lineage: Eukaryota; Viridiplantae; Streptophyta; Magnoliopsida; Poales; Poaceae. The record is from Rfam by way of RNAcentral.
UAUAAGGGAUUUUGAGUUUUUGCUUGCAACGUUUGACCACUCGUCUUAUUCAAAUUUUUUUGAAAUUAUUAUUUAUUUUAUUUGUGACUUACUUUAUUAUCCACAAUACUUUAAGCACAACUUUUCAUUUUUUAUAUUUGCAAAAAAAAUGAAUAAGACGAGUAGUCAAACGUUGCAUGCAAAAACUCAAAAUCCCUUAUA